AUGAACGCUGGCGGCGUGCCUAAUACAUGCAAGUCGAGCGAACAGAUGAGGAGCUUGCUCCUCUGACGUUAGCGGCGGACGGGUGAGUAACACGUGGAUAACCUACCUAUAAGACUGGGAUAACUUCGGGAAAACGGAGCUAAUACCGGAUAAUAUAUUUAACCGCAUGGUUCAAUAGUGAAAGGCGGUUUUGCUGUCACUUAUAGAUGGAUCCGCGCCGCAUUAGCUAGUUGGUAAGGUAACGGCUUACCAAGGCAACGAUGCGUAGCCGACCUGAGAGGGUGAUCGGCCACACUGGAACUGAGACACGGUCCAGACUCCUACGGGAGGCAGCAGUAGGGAAUCUUCCGCAAUGGGCGAAAGCCUGACGGAGCAACGCCGCGUGAGUGAUGAAGGUCUUCGGAUCGUAAAACUCUGUUAUUAGGGAAGAACAAAUGUGUAAGUAACUAUGCACGUCUUGACGGUACCUAAUCAGAAAGCCACGGCUAACUACGUG
This 496-nucleotide ribosomal RNA is filed under the name uncultured bacterium. Its description in RNAcentral is "partial 16S ribosomal RNA". It matches the Rfam family "Bacterial small subunit ribosomal RNA", at positions 29 to 507 of the family's 1533-position model. The record is from RNAcentral.